Molecule: ribosomal RNA, 235 nt
Filed under: uncultured bacterium
Lineage: Bacteria
Description: partial small subunit ribosomal RNA
Rfam family: Bacterial small subunit ribosomal RNA
Source: RNAcentral
AGAGCGAACGCUGGCGGCAGGCUUAACACAUGCAAGUCGAGCGGGCGUAGCAAUACGUCAGCGGCAGACGGGUGAGUAACGCGUGGGAACAUACCUUUUGGUUCGGAACAACACAGGGAAACUUGUGCUAAUACCGGAUAAGCCCUUACGGGGAAAGAUUUAUCGCCGAAAGAUUGGCCCGCGUCUGAUUAGCUAGUUGGCGGGGUAAUGGCCCACAAGACGAUGAUCGGUAUCC